AUCCAGAUGACGAGUCUCAAACAGGACGAAACCCGCAUUCUGGAU
Non-coding RNA from Trichobilharzia regenti, 45 nucleotides. NCBI's taxonomy places the organism in Eukaryota, Metazoa, Platyhelminthes, Trematoda, Strigeidida, Schistosomatidae. The record is from Rfam.